RNAcentral lists this long non-coding RNA (1057 nucleotides) under Papio anubis (olive baboon). Its description in RNAcentral is "lncRNA (ENSPANG00000038306.1)". Lineage: Eukaryota; Metazoa; Chordata; Mammalia; Primates; Cercopithecidae. The record is from RNAcentral.
UGUUCUGUUACUUCAGACUGUCUAUCUAUUGUUAGGGUUCUCAAUUCCACUACCUCAUUCUUGUUCCUUCACAGCUUCUAGUUGGGUUGACCCAACUGUCUGCCUUCUUCCCAUCCAUCUAUACCAGGCACUUCCAGCGGAAGUGGGACAAUCCGUGCUUCACACUCUGAUGCUGGUGAACAUAUAUAGAGCUUACUAUGCACAGCACUGUUAUAUGAAUUUAUGUGUGUUAACUGAUCAAUUCUUUAGACCACUCAAGGAGGGAAGAUGAAACACUGAAUUAGGAAAUCUGGGAAACUGCAGACACAUUUUCUAACAUGUUCAAAUCAGGAAAAAAAAGUCAUUCCAUGUGUGCAUUUCAGAAGGCAUUCAUAGCACUGGCUUCACAAUUUCUCCCUUGGACAACCACAAGAGGCAUCCUUAAAACUGUGAGAGAAAACCUAAUACAACUGAUACAAAUAAAGAAAACCCAGCUCCUCACCCCUUGACCUUCCUCACUGUCACCAAAAUCAAUUUUUUGUUGUUUCUGGGUUUUUCUUUUUUAAAUAAAAAUAAUGCAUUGUUUCUUAUUAUCCUGUGGAUUCAAUGGGCUCAGCUGGACCCUUUUGCUGGAUACCAUGAAGGCCAGUUCAUGCAUAGGGCUGCACUCAGCUGACUGUUCCAUCCAAGAUGUCCCCUCAUGUUCCAGGGUCUUAGUAUUUUAAAGUGGUAAUCAUGACCUUUUAAUGAAUCUUGAAAUCAAUUUAAUGGACCAAUUGUAUUAGUCUGUUCUCAGACUGCUAAUAAAGACAUACCCAAGACUGGGUAAUUUAUAAAGGAAAGAGGUUUAAUUGACUCACAAUUCCACAUGGCUGGGGAGGCCUCACAAUCAUGGUAGAAGGAGAAUGAGGAGCAAAGUCACAUCUUAUAUGGCAGCAGACAGGAGAGCUUGUGCAGGGAACUCCCAUGUAUAUAACCAUCAGAUUUGUGAGACUUAUUCACUACCAUGAGAACAGCAUGGAGGAAACUGCCCCCAUGAUUCAAUUAUCUCCACCUGGCCCUGCUCUUGACAUGUGGG